CAACAGGAAUCGCACAGGGCCGGAGGAAAGAGCAACUGGGUGAUUUUGAAGGCCUGGGGGGCGUUUUAAAUGUGGUCAGUUUCUUAUCUGCCUUCCCCAUUAGAAUGCCCGCCCUUUUCAUUUGUUUUGUUCGUUGCUGUUUUGCAGAGCCUGCAGCAGGGCCGGGCACACAGUACACAUUGUACUAUGGGUUGUGUCCCGGAUGUACCCAGAUCGCAUGUAGCAGAGACACGGGUAUAAAACCGAGGAUAGGGGAGUCCUGGACACUGGCCACGUGCCUCCCACUACCCGAAUCUGACCUGUGUCAGAGGACGGGGAACCUGGAGACACACUCACAGAGAAAAGGGAAGAGCAGCUGGAAAUACCCCUGCCAAGGACGACAGUCCAGGAGGACGCUACUCUGGCCCCACCUGCCCUGGUCUUCACUUUCAAAACUUUCUUGCCAAUUUUUAUUCACAUUUAUACAAACACACAUAGGACAACAGCAACAACAACAACAAAAAUAGUCGAAAUAAAGUUUGGAAUUUUAUACAAUUUAAAGAUUAAUUUGUAAAGGACUGAAAUUUUGUGAAAUUCAGAAUUUCACAGUUUUAAAAUUGUAUGAAAUUUGAGCACCUGCCUGGCAAGCGCAAGGUCAUGAGUUUGAUUCCUGGUACCAGAAAAAAGCCAAAAAAUAAAAAAAAAAGAUAAAAAAAAUUAUGUGAAAUUUGAAAGUUCUCAUGUCUUUUUCAAAUUUAAAAUUUGGAAGCACAUGUCUUUUCAUGUAGUUCAUUUAUUUAGCCCUUUUUCUUCAUCUUUAAAUAAAUCUGUUUUGUUUUUUUUUUUUUUCCUUCUGGUGUUAGGAAUCGAACUCAUGACCUCGUGCUUGCCAGGCAGGCACCGUACCACUGAGCUAAAUUCCCAGCCCCAUUUAAUUAAAUCUUGAUAGUUUCCACCUGAGUUCUGUACUUUUCUUCUGUAUUUUUAUUAUUAUCAUCACUGAUAUGAAUAAAAUAUCUAUGUUCACUUUUGACUGGGUUCUGCUAAUAAAAGGAAAUACUAUUGAUUUCUUCUUAUUUAGUACAUAUUUGAGUGAUUUUUUGGUUUUUUUUUCCUCUAGUUUAUAUGUUUUUAUGAGAACAUGUUUGCAGUAUAUAAUGAUCAUAUUCCUUGUAGGGAGUUGGUACCUGUACAUAACACAUCUCAAUUCUUUUUUUUAUCCCCUUUCUCUUCCAACCCCCAUCUCUUGAUGAAAAAGAUCAACCUCCCUAAUUCCUAUUAUCUUUUAUUUUGCUCUUUAUUUAUAUUUUGGGUUUUUCACAUAAGAGAAAAGAUGUGAUGUUUAGCUUGUGUAUCUGAUUAAUUUCACUUAACAUUAUAGUCUAAAGAUGCAUACAUUUUCCUAUAAAUGACUCAAAUUUAUCCUUUUUGGUGGCAGAGUAGUACUCCACUGGGUAUAAAUACCAU
Molecule: long non-coding RNA, 1446 nt
Filed under: Chinchilla lanigera (long-tailed chinchilla)
Lineage: Eukaryota; Metazoa; Chordata; Mammalia; Rodentia; Chinchillidae
Description: lncRNA (ENSCLAG00000022793.1)
Source: RNAcentral